CAGCCGCCGCGGGAAUACGAAGGAGGCUAGCGUUGUUCGGAAUUACUGGGCGUAAAGCGCACGUAGGCGGAUAUUUAAGUCAGGGGUGAAAUCCCGCAGCUCAACUGCGGAACUGCCUUUGAUACUGGGUAUCUUGAGUAUGGAAGAGGUUAGUGGAAUUGCGAGUGUAGAGGUGAAAUUCGUAGAUAUUCGCAGGAACACCAGUGGCGAAGGCGGCUAACUGGUCCAUAACUGACGCUGAGGUGCGAAAGCGUGGGGAGCAAACAGGAUUAGAGACCCCGGUAGUCCCUGUCUCUUAUAC
Molecule: ribosomal RNA, 301 nt
Filed under: uncultured bacterium
Lineage: Bacteria
Description: partial 16S ribosomal RNA
Rfam family: Bacterial small subunit ribosomal RNA
Source: RNAcentral